RNAcentral lists this unclassified non-coding RNA (416 nucleotides) under soil metagenome. RNAcentral describes it as "partial contains 5.8S ribosomal RNA, internal transcribed spacer 2, and large subunit ribosomal RNA". The stretch from base 1 to 120 matches the Rfam family "5.8S ribosomal RNA", at positions 35 to 154 of the family's 154-position model. The record is from RNAcentral.
GAUGAAGAACGCAGCGAAAUGCGAUAAGUAAUGUGAAUUGCAGAAUUCAGUGAAUCAUCGAAUCUUUGAACGCACCUUGCACUCCUUGGUAUUCCGAGGAGUACGCCUGUUCGAGUGUUAUGAAGCUCUCAAAACGCAAUUGGCUUAAAACCUGAUUGUUGCUUUGGAUUUGAACUUUGCCGUGUUAUAACGGCUGGUUUUAAAAGUAUUAGCUGGUACUAGAACGAAUUGGUUCUACUCAACGUGAUAAUUAUCUGAUCGUUGAGGACAUUCCUUUCACGAGGAAUGGCCAUAGUAAAUUCAAUGGACUGCUUCUAAUCUGGCUUUAAUUCUUUAUUGGAUUAACCACUUUUCAAAUCUGACCUCGAAUCAGGUGGGACUACCCGCUGAACUUAAGCAUAUCAAUAAGCGGAGGA